RNAcentral lists this ribosomal RNA (253 nucleotides) under uncultured bacterium. RNAcentral's name for it is "partial 16S ribosomal RNA". It matches the Rfam family "Bacterial small subunit ribosomal RNA", at positions 524 to 776 of the family's 1533-position model. The record is from RNAcentral.
UACGAAGGUGGCAAGCGUUGUUCGGAUUUACUGGGCGUACAGGGAGCGUAGGCGGUUGGAUAAGCCCUCCGUGAAAUCUCCAGGCUUAACCUGGAAAGUGCAGAGGGGACUGUUCAGCUAGAGGAUGGGAGAGGAGCGCGGAAUUCCCGGUGUAGCGGUGAAAUGCGUAGAGAUCGGGAGGAAGGCCGGUGGCGAAGGCGGCGCUCUGGACUGCAACUGACACUGAAAGACGAAAGCCAGGGGAGCAAACGGG